UUCUUCUGUUCCUUAAACCAUGUUUAUGAACCUCCUGCCUUACAGUGUAGUUAGAUAGGGUUUCCUUAACAUCGAAGUAACAUUAUAGAUGUAUAAACAAUUUAACGUCAUAAUUUGUAAUUCACAAAAAACUUUAAUACACGACUGUCUGUUAGAUGAAAUAUUGUUAUUAACUGUAACACUUUCUUUUCCAGAUAAAGUUUUUUCCUGACUUCCUGCUAUUUCCCAAAGGGUCGUACCAUAUGAAAAAUGUGAGUGAAAAGACACAUAGUUGACUGAGAUUACCAUAUAUACUUGUAUAUUUGAAUAUUUUUUUAAAAUCUUCGGAUCAAGUAAGAAAAUCUAGCUAAUUUUUGAGGGAUUAUGUUCUGAUAAUAAAUACCUUUAAAAUGAUAUGCAUAUUGAUAAUUGGAUUUAAAAUUUGUGACUACUUCCCAUGAGUCAUUGCCCAAUGUAGGGGUGUGAUGGUUAUUGUAUAAAAUUGUAUAAGAUAGCCAUAUAACAUUGUGCAGUUAAUAGAUUUUAUCUGCUAUGGUUUAAGAAAAUUGUGUUUCCAGACACUUUACACACCCUGUUUGUAUAUUUAAAAGGAAAUCUUUACAUGAAGACUGCUACUGACAAAAAAAUAGUCAUUACAAAUGUUCUACCAGAGAAGGAGCAGGAUGUAUAGAAUCCAAAAGGAAAUCCUGUUUUAUCUAAUCAGACCAGAUUGUACUAGUUCAACCCCACAAGCACAUAGAAGUGGUAAUCUUAUCUUUGCACUGAUAAGUUCACUAGGCCAUUGAGUGAUCAUUCAGCCAACCAGUUAGUCUGUAACCAAAUAUGGAAACCAUCACACUUGAGGAGCAACAAGCAUUGCUUAGAGGGCUUCUAGAAGCAAUCAACUGUCCAGUGUGCUUCAACAUUCUACAGCCGUUGUGUGUCAUCCAGUGUAUCAAUGGUCAUUGGAUGUGUAAAGACUGUAGAGUUAAACUAAGCCUGUGCCCAACAUGCCGUGGUAGCUUCAGCCCCUACAAUAACAACUCAUCACUGAACCAAGUCUUAGAACUAUUCCCACACAUGUGCAAAUUUGAAGGCUGUGAAGAAAUUGUAAGACCUAAUGAUGAUCAUGAGACGUGGUGCGGUUUUCGUCCAACGAAAUGCAAAAUUUGCCAGUGGACUGGUUGUGGUAAAGAUAUUUUGGAUCAUGUCAAACUGAAACAUUCAGAGAAAGUCAUUCUUGAUGAAAAAAAUGAAUGUAGACGUUUCGAUCGUUGUAAUGAUAAAACGAUCCAAAAUUGUGAUACCUAUAUGCCAAUUUUUGCUCAUGGUCAGUUUUUUUGGAUGUAUUCAGAAAAUAGUAUAGAAAAAAUGUCAUUUGCAAAAAUAUUUACUUUAGUCCCAAAUGGAAAAAUUGAUUGUAGUUAUGAAAUGAAGUUUGUCUUGAGAAAUUCUAACAACGUAUAUGCUGUUUCCACUUUUUUGAAUGAUGAUACAGUUUUAAAUUUUAAUGGAAAUGACAACAAAUUCACUCUUCAUUUCUCAAUAUUAAGAAAUUUUAGUUAUGAAGGAAAGUUAACAUAUGAUUUCUAUGUGAAUAAAUUAAAUCAGAAAUAAAUGAAUGCAUUCUAAUAAUUAA
This 1618-nucleotide long non-coding RNA is filed under the name Homalodisca vitripennis (glassy-winged sharpshooter). RNAcentral's name for it is "uncharacterized LOC124353027". The record is from RNAcentral. Lineage: Eukaryota; Metazoa; Arthropoda; Insecta; Hemiptera; Cicadellidae.